RNAcentral lists this transfer RNA (72 nucleotides) under Heterocephalus glaber (naked mole-rat). It matches the Rfam family "tRNA". From Rfam's summary of the family: Transfer RNA (tRNA) molecules are approximately 80 nucleotides in length. Their secondary structure includes four short double-helical elements and three loops (D, anti-codon, and T loops). Lineage: Eukaryota; Metazoa; Chordata; Mammalia; Rodentia; Bathyergidae. The record is from Rfam by way of RNAcentral.
UGGGAUAUAGCUCAGUGGUAGAGUGCUUGCUUAGCAUAUAUGAGGCCCUAGGUUCAAUCCCCAGUAGUCAAA